This 495-nucleotide ribosomal RNA is filed under the name uncultured bacterium. Its description in RNAcentral is "partial 16S ribosomal RNA". It matches the Rfam family "Bacterial small subunit ribosomal RNA", at positions 28 to 507 of the family's 1533-position model. The record is from RNAcentral.
GACGAACGCUGGCGGCGUGCCUAAUACAUGCAAGUCGAACGCUGAAGGAGGAGCUUGCUUCUCUGGAUGAGUUGCGAACGGGUGAGUAACGCGUAGGUAACCUGCCUGGUAGCGGGGGAUAACUAUUGGAAACGAUAGCUAAUACCGCAUAAUAGUAGAUGUUGCAUGACAUUUGCUUAAAAGGUGCAAUUGCAUCACUACCAGAUGGACCUGCGUUGUAUUUGCUAGUUGGUGGGGUAACGGCUCACCAAGGCGACGAUACAUAGCCGACCUGAGAGGGUGAUCGGCCACACUGGGACUGAGACACGGCCCAGACUCCUACGGGAGGCAGCAGUAGGGAAUCUUCGGCAAUGGACGGAAGUCUGACCGAGCAACGCCGCGUGAGUGAAGAAGGGUUUCGGAUCGUAAAGCUCUGUUGUAAGAGAAGAACGAGUGUGAGAGUGGAAAGUUCACACUGUGACGGUAUCUUACCAGAAAGAGACGGCUAACUACGUG